AUUGAACGCUGGCGGCAGGCCUAACACAUGCAAGUCGAGCGUGAAAGUCCUUCGGGAUGAGUAAAGCGGCGGACGGGUGAGUAACGCGUAGGAAUCUACCUGAUAGUGGGGGAUAACGUCUCGAAAGGGACGCUAAUACCGCAUACGUUCUGAGGAAGAAAGCAGGGGAUCGCAAGACCUUGUGCUAUCAGAUGAGCCUGCGUCCGAUUAGCUAGUUGGUGGGGUAAAGGCCUACCAAGGCGACGAUCGGUAACUGGUCUGAGAGGAUGAUCAGUCACACUGGAACUGAGACACGGUCCAGACUCCUACGGGAGGCAGCAGUGGGGAAUAUUGGACAAUGGGGGCAACCCUGAUCCAGCCAUGCCGCGUGUGUGAAGAAGGCCUUCGGGUUGUAAAGCACUUUAAGCGGGGAGGAAGGCUCCAUGGUUAAUACCCAUGGGGAUUGACGUUACCCGCAGAAUAAGCACCGGCAAACUUCGUGCCAGCCGCCGCGGUAA
This 497-nucleotide ribosomal RNA is filed under the name uncultured bacterium. RNAcentral describes it as "partial 16S ribosomal RNA". It matches the Rfam family "Bacterial small subunit ribosomal RNA", at positions 30 to 523 of the family's 1533-position model. The record is from RNAcentral.